This 1157-nucleotide ribosomal RNA is filed under the name Latrodectus hesperus (western black widow). RNAcentral's name for it is "SSU rRNA". It matches the Rfam family "Eukaryotic small subunit ribosomal RNA", at positions 622 to 1803 of the family's 1831-position model. Lineage: Eukaryota; Metazoa; Arthropoda; Arachnida; Araneae; Theridiidae. The record is from RNAcentral.
AAAAGCUCGUAGUUGGAUCUCAGUUGCAGAGGGACGGUCCACCUACCGGUGGUCACUGUCUUUUCUGAACGUUGCAGCCGGUUUCUCUUGAUGAUCUUCACCGGUUGUCUUGGGUGACCGGCAAGUUUACUUUGAAAAAAUUAGAGUGCUCAAAGCAUGCGUGACGCAUGAAUAAUGGUGCAUGGAAUAAUGGAAUAGGACCUCGGUUCUAUUUUGUUGGUUUACGGAAAACGAGGUAAUGAUUAAGAGGGACAGCCGGGGGCAUUCGUACUGCGACGCUAGAGGUGAAAUUCUUGGACCGUCGCAAGACGAACUACUGCGAAAGCAUUUGCCAAGAAUGUUUCCAUUAAUCAAGAACGAAAGUUAGAGGUUCGAAGGCGAUCAGAUACCGCCCUAGUUCUAACCAUAAACGAUGCCAGCCAGCGAUCCGGCUGUGUUCCUCAAAUGACACGCCGGGCAGCUUCCGGGAAACCAAAGCUUUUGGGUUCCGGGGGAAGUAUGGUUGCAAAGCUGAAACUUAAAGGAAUUGACGGAAGGGCACACCAGAAAUGGAGCCUGCGGCUUAAUUUGACUCAACACGGGAUAGCCUACCUGGCCCGGACACAGGAAGGAUUGACAGAUUAAGAGCUCUUUCUUGAUUCUGUGGGUUGUGGUGCAUGGUCGUUCUUAGUUGGUGGAGUGAUUUGUCUGGUUUAUUCCGAUAACGAACGAGACUCUAGCCUACUAAAUAGACGUUUCCGAUCCUUGUAGUCGGACGUUCUUCUUAGAGGGACAAGCGGUGUUUAGCCGCACGAGACAGAGCAAUAACAGGUCUGUAAUGCCCAUAGAUGUUCGGGGCUGCACGCGCGCUACAAUGAAGGAAUCAGCGUGUGUUUUCCCUGUCCGACAGGACUGGGUAACCCGUUGAAACUCCUUCGUGCUGGGGAUAGGGAUUUGCAAUUGUCUCCCUUGAACCAGGAAUUCCCCGUAAGCGUUUGUCAUAAGCAAGCGUUGAUUACGUCCCUGCCCUUUGUCCACACCGCCCGUCGCUAUUACCGAUUGAAUGAUUUAGUGAGGUCUUCGGACUGGCGCUCGGAUUGGCCUUCGGGUCGAGCCGAGUGCCGGAAAGAUGACCAAACUUGAUCAUUUAGAGGAAAUAAAAGUCGUAACAAGGUCUC